GAAAUGCGAUAAUUAAUGUGAAUUGCAGAAUUCAGUGAAUCAUCGAGUCUUUGAACGCACAUUGCGCCCCCUGGUAUUCCGGGGGGCAUGCCUGUCCGAGCGUCAUUGCUGCCCUCAAGCACGGCUUGUGUGUUGGGCUUCCGUCCCUGGCAACGGGGACGGGCCCAAAAGGCAGUGGCGGCACCAUGUCUGGUCCUCGAGCGUAUGGGGCUUUGUCACCCGCUCCCGUAGGUCCAGCUGGCAGCUAGCCUCGCAACCAAUCUUUUUAACCAGGUUGACCUCGGAUCAAGUAGGGAUACCCGCUGAACUUAAGC
RNAcentral lists this unclassified non-coding RNA (314 nucleotides) under plant metagenome. Its description in RNAcentral is "partial contains 5.8S ribosomal RNA, internal transcribed spacer 2, and large subunit ribosomal RNA". The stretch from base 1 to 105 matches the Rfam family "5.8S ribosomal RNA", at positions 50 to 154 of the family's 154-position model. The record is from RNAcentral.